Molecule: ribosomal RNA, 438 nt
Filed under: uncultured Desulfobulbus sp.
Lineage: Bacteria; Pseudomonadati; Thermodesulfobacteriota; Desulfobulbia; Desulfobulbales; Desulfobulbaceae
Description: bacterial SSU rRNA
Rfam family: Bacterial small subunit ribosomal RNA
Source: RNAcentral
CGAUGCAACGCGAAGAACCUUACCUGGUCUUGACAUCCCGGAGACCCUUAGGAAACUAGGGGGUGGCUUCCAUCUGGAAGAAUCUGGAGACAGGUGCUGCAUGGCUGUCGUCAGCUCGUGUCGUGAGAUGUUGGGUUAAGUCCCGCAACGAGCGCAACCCUUGCCUUUAGUUGCCAGCAGUUCGGCUGGGCACUCUAAAGGGACUGCCGGUGUUAAACCGGAGGAAGGUGGGGGAUGACGUCAAGUCCUCAUGGCCUUUAUGACCAGGGCUACACACGUACUACAAUGGCCGAUACAAAGGGCAGCGACACUGCGAGGUGAAGCCAAUCCCGUAAAAUCGGUCUCAGUCCGGAUUGGAGUCUGCAACUCGACUCCAUGAAGUUGGAAUCGCUAGUAAUCGUGGAUCAGCAUGCCACGGUGAAUACGUUCCCGGGCCUU